This 311-nucleotide ribosomal RNA is filed under the name uncultured eukaryote. RNAcentral describes it as "partial 18S ribosomal RNA". It matches the Rfam family "Eukaryotic small subunit ribosomal RNA", at positions 1470 to 1796 of the family's 1831-position model. The record is from RNAcentral.
CCCUUAGAUGUCCUGGGCCGCACGCGUGCUACACUGAUGCAUACAGCGAGUACUCCCAGCUCCGAGAGGCUGCUGGUAAUCAGCAAUAUGCAUCGUGAUGGGGAUAGAUCUUUGGAAUUAUAGAUCUUGAACGAGGAAUUCCUAGUAAUCGCAGGUCAUCACCCUGCGUUGACUAAGUCCCUGCCCUUUGUACACACCGCCCGUCGCUCCUACCGAUUUCGAGUGAUCCGGUGAAUCAUUCGGACCGCGGCCCCUAGGCAUGCAGAAAGUCUAGUAAACCAUAUCACUUAGAGGAAGGAGAAGUCGUAACA